This 255-nucleotide ribosomal RNA is filed under the name uncultured bacterium. Its description in RNAcentral is "partial 16S ribosomal RNA". It matches the Rfam family "Bacterial small subunit ribosomal RNA", at positions 524 to 776 of the family's 1533-position model. The record is from RNAcentral.
UACGUAGGGCGCAAGCGUUGUCCGGAAUUAUUGGGCGUAAAGAGCUCGUAGGCGGUUUGUCGCGUCUGCUGUGAAAUCCCGAGGCUCAACCUCGGGCUUGCAGUGGGUACGGGCAGACUAGAGUGCGGUAGGGGAGACUGGAAUUCCUGGUGUAGCGGUGGAAUGCGCAGAUAUCAGGAGGAACACCGAUGGCGAAGGCAGGUCUCUGGGCCGCAACUGACGCUGGAGGAGCGAAAGCCGUGGGGAGCGAACAGG